RNAcentral lists this non-coding RNA (266 nucleotides) under gamma proteobacterium BDW918. RNAcentral also lists the same sequence under 1 other name. Lineage: Bacteria; Pseudomonadati; Pseudomonadota; Gammaproteobacteria; Cellvibrionales; Spongiibacteraceae. The record is from RNAcentral.
CUUGGCGCCGAUGUUUCAGGUGCUUGCGUCGCAUAAUCACUGCGCGCAGCUUAAACGGGAAACAGGUGCGCUGGGUUCAACUAAUUUGACCAGCAAAGCCUGUACUGCCCCCGCAACGGUAAACAGAGAACACUAUUCCGUCAGGCCAGUGAGGCGCUGACAGCCACUGCGUAAACCGUGGGAAGGCGAAUAGUUGCUAUAAAUAGCACUGCGUAAUUCAUACGCACUCUGUGAGUCCGGAGACCGGCCCGAAACCCAAGAAUAGA